AGGUACACAUGAUGGUCACUCAGAGCCUUAUACACAGCAGCCAGGACCUGAGGAUCAGAGGAGGUUUACUAAGGGCUGAUUCCUGCCUCUUUAACUGCUCUAUGUUCUCUGACUAGAGGUGGGUGGGCAUGACUGUGAGGGUCAGUACAGGCUCAGACUCACAGGUCUGUUCUAGGAU
Pipistrellus kuhlii (Kuhl's pipistrelle) is the source of this 178-nucleotide long non-coding RNA. RefSeq lists it as uncharacterized. The record is from RefSeq and is a predicted model, not a curated record. The transcript is spliced from 2 exons. NCBI's taxonomy places the organism in Eukaryota, Metazoa, Chordata, Mammalia, Chiroptera, Vespertilionidae.